CUACGGGGGGCUGCAGUGGGGAAUAUUGCACAAUGGACGAAAGUCUGAUGCAGCAACGCCGCGUGGAGGAUGACACAUUUCGGUGCGUAAACUCCUUUUAUAGGUCAAGAUAAUGACGGUAGCCUAUGAAUAAGCGCCGGCUAACUCCGUGCCAGCAGCCGCGGUAAUACGGAGGGCGCAAGCGUUACUCGGAAUCACUGGGCGUAAAGAGCGUGUAGGCGGGUUAAUAAGUCAGAAGUGAAAUCCAAUGGCUCAACCAUUGAACUGCUUUUGAAACUGUUAACCUAGAGUAUGGGAGAGGUAGAUGGAAUUUCUGGUGUAGGGGUAAAAUCCGUAGAGAUCAGAAGGAAUACCGAUUGCGAAGGCGAUCUACUGGAACAUUACUGACGCUGAGACGCGAAAGCGUGGGGAGCAAACAGGAUUAGAUACCCCAGUAGUC
RNAcentral lists this ribosomal RNA (439 nucleotides) under uncultured bacterium. RNAcentral describes it as "partial 16S ribosomal RNA". It matches the Rfam family "Bacterial small subunit ribosomal RNA", at positions 339 to 795 of the family's 1533-position model. The record is from RNAcentral.